RNAcentral lists this ribosomal RNA (1318 nucleotides) under Curtobacterium pusillum. RNAcentral describes it as "bacterial SSU rRNA". It matches the Rfam family "Bacterial small subunit ribosomal RNA", at positions 111 to 1441 of the family's 1533-position model. The record is from RNAcentral. Lineage: Bacteria; Bacillati; Actinomycetota; Actinomycetes; Micrococcales; Microbacteriaceae.
UAACACGUGAGUAACCUGCCCCUGACUCUGGGAUAAGCGUUGGAAACGACGUCUAAUACUGGAUAUGAUCACUGGCCGCAUGGUCUGGUGGUGGAAAGAUUUUUUGGUUGGGGAUGGACUCGCGGCCUAUCAGCUUGUUGGUGAGGUAAUGGCUCACCAAGGCGACGACGGGUAGCCGGCCUGAGAGGGUGACCGGCCACACUGGGACUGAGACACGGCCCAGACUCCUACGGGAGGCAGCAGUGGGGAAUAUUGCACAAUGGGCGAAAGCCUGAUGCAGCAACGCCGCGUGAGGGAUGACGGCCUUCGGGUUGUAAACCUCUUUUAGUAGGGAAGAAGCGAAAGUGACGGUACCUGCAGAAAAAGCACCGGCUAACUACGUGCCAGCAGCCGCGGUAAUACGUAGGGUGCAAGCGUUGUCCGGAAUUAUUGGGCGUAAAGAGCUCGUAGGCGGUUUGUCGCGUCUGCUGUGAAAUCCCGAGGCUCAACCUCGGGCUUGCAGUGGGUACGGGCAGACUAGAGUGCGGUAGGGGAGAUUGGAAUUCCUGGUGUAGCGGUGGAAUGCGCAGAUAUCAGGAGGAACACCGAUGGCGAAGGCAGAUCUCUGGGCCGUAACUGACGCUGAGGAGCGAAAGCGUGGGGAGCGAACAGGAUUAGAUACCCUGGUAGUCCACGCCGUAAACGUUGGGCGCUAGAUGUAGGGACCUUUCCACGGUUUCUGUGUCGUAGCUAACGCAUUAAGCGCCCCGCCUGGGGAGUACGGCCGCAAGGCUAAAACUCAAAGGAAUUGACGGGGGCCCGCACAAGCGGCGGAGCAUGCGGAUUAAUUCGAUGCAACGCGAAGAACCUUACCAAGGCUUGACAUACACCGGAAACGGCCAGAGAUGGUCGCCCCCUUGUGGUCGGUGUACAGGUGGUGCAUGGUUGUCGUCAGCUCGUGUCGUGAGAUGUUGGGUUAAGUCCCGCAACGAGCGCAACCCUCGUUCUAUGUUGCCAGCGCGUUAUGGCGGGGACUCAUAGGAGACUGCCGGGGUCAACUCGGAGGAAGGUGGGGAUGACGUCAAAUCAUCAUGCCCCUUAUGUCUUGGGCUUCACGCAUGCUACAAUGGCCGGUACAAAGGGCUGCGAUACCGUAAGGUGGAGCGAAUCCCAAAAAGCCGGUCUCAGUUCGGAUUGAGGUCUGCAACUCGACCUCAUGAAGUCGGAGUCGCUAGUAAUCGCAGAUCAGCAACGCUGCGGUGAAUACGUUCCCGGGCCUUGUACACACCGCCCGUCAAGUGAUGAAAGUCGGUAACACCCGAAGCCGGUGGCCUAACCC